Molecule: ribosomal RNA, 252 nt
Filed under: uncultured bacterium
Lineage: Bacteria
Description: partial 16S ribosomal RNA
Rfam family: Bacterial small subunit ribosomal RNA
Source: RNAcentral
UACGGAGGAUGCGAGCGUUAUCCGGAUUUAUUGGGUUUAAAGGGUGCGUAGGCGGUCCGUUAAGUCAGCGGUAAAAUUGCGGGGCUCAACCCCGUCGAGCCGUUGAAACUGUCAGACUUGAGUUGGCGAGAAGUACGCGGAAUGCGCGGUGUAGCGGUGAAAUGCGUAGAUAUCAGGAGGAACACCGGUGGCGAAGGCGGCCUGCUGGACUGCAACUGACGUUGAGGCCCGAAAGCGUGGGGAGCAAACAGG